Molecule: long non-coding RNA, 642 nt
Organism: Dermacentor silvarum
Lineage: Eukaryota; Metazoa; Arthropoda; Arachnida; Ixodida; Ixodidae
Exons: 4
Source: RefSeq, a predicted model, not a curated record
GAACGUUCAUACGACGGAAGCCGUUCGAGUCAAAAUAUAGAACAGGAUUGCCCGAACAGGACACGCUGGACAGCAGCUCCGUGAUUAUUUUGAACACAACGCCAUUCUCGAGAAGCUUGUAUUUCGAAGAAAACAAUCUUCUAAGGAAAAAUAUGGUCACCUUUACAAUGAUAAUAUUCGUCGCCUUCUUAACCACUCAUGUAGUAUCAAAACCGAGGAGGGUUGUAGUGAAAUACCGUGGGUCGUUAUAUAUUCCCGUAGCGGUCGCAAAAGGAUCAUGCAUGGUCAGCAAUGAAUUCAAAAUGCCAGAUGGCCACACAGUGGAGUCAUCUACAUUUUGCAGGAAAGUGACAUGCAAUGCUACGGCUGGGUAUUUGCAUGAAGAGCACUGCACCGUCCCGAGAAAUUACGCGCCCGACCGCCUGCAGCUUGAGCCAAGAGGUGCACCUUUUCCAUUUUGCUGCCCAUGGUUUUCAACAAAGAAGAAGUCAAUCAAAUGAAUGACUUCUAAUAGUGUACCUUGCAGUGCACAUAUACAACAUAUGCUAAGAUUAAAUUAAUGUAAUUGUCGCAUACCUUUACUGUGAAAAAAUAUGCAUUCUUAAAUUACUGUAUUAACCAGAGACUCGGAGUUGGCCUGGU